CAACCAAAAAAAAAAUACAAACCUUAGCUCUAUUUUUUUUUAUUUAUGGCUUGAAGGAAAAUCUAUAUGUAAGAUGAAUGAAUCAAACAUUAUAAAGACAACUAAGUUGGUUUAGGCUUGGCACCGUCGAUUUUCAAAUUUGAUUCUCAUGUUGAGAUAACAACAAAAUGCUUUUCGUUCGUUGUUUCCUACCCUACUUUAUUGCUCUGAAGAAUUAUCAUAUAAAUAUAUAUAAUAUAUAUAUGUAUAUAUAUUUAUAGAAGUCUUCCUUCAUUGUUUAUGUGCCUUGAUUCAUGGCUAAAUAUGCUUAUUGCAAAAAUAAAAUGUUUGAUCAUUUUGUGCGUAAUUAUAGAUUAUUGGCACACCAUCUGUUUGAUAGAAGUUCUGAGUUAAAAUAAUAUUUAUUCAGUGAUUCUUUCCCUACAAAAAAAAAAAAAAGAAAUAAAAUAAAUAAAUAAAGCGGUCAGGCGGUCACUUUCUUUUAUUUGCGUCUGCUUCUUCUCCUCUGUACCUUUCAAAACUUUUGGAGAGCUUUAUAGUACACUCUCUCUCCUAAUUACCGUCCUUAUUAGAUGCACACUACUUGGAGUUAAUCACUAUCUCUACUUCUCUCUCGCCACCUCACUUACGACUCUCCUCUCCUCCGAUGAAACACAAUUCUCUUCUUCCGAAAGUACAAAACAAACCAUUAUUUUUCUCCCCUAAUUGCAAUAAUCUAUAAUCUGUUCUAUUUUUACUUUUCUUAACCUUUAUAAUUUUCAUAUUAUUGGUUUGAAGUUCUUCAUAAUUAAUUUGAUUUGGUUAUCACAAUGUUCGCAUCGUGGAGUCUAUUUGUAACUACUUGAGGGCAAUUUUAUUUCAUGGAGACUAACACACAUCUUCAGGUUGAGCAUCUUGUGAUUGAGAUGAUUGUUGGUGAAGAUUUUGAAAAGUGGCAAAUUCAUGUGGCAAAGGGAGAACCGCUUCUAAUUAGUCAGUCUGAGGUGCCUUUGUUCGUUGAUUUUCUUUAGUCCUGUAAAAUGUGCUGAUGGACGUGAUUUUCGGCCCUGCCUUUGCUUAUUCAUAAUGUUAUGAGACAUUUGAAUUUUGGUCAUGCCUUUGAGGCCAGAAUAUCUUCUGAAAAAUGUACCAAAACGAUGUCUCUUUGCAACUGGGGCUCCUCAUCAUCAUCAUCACGUUGCAGUCAGAUCAACAGCUCGUGUUGAAGCUGGAGUUGAAGAAGGUGACACUGUUAGUAUGCAUUAUGAUCCAAUGAUUGCUAAGCAUGUAGUGUGGGGGAUAAAAUAGGGCAUUUUUAUUGGUUAAAUUAAAAGACACUUUAUCAAAGUUUCGGGUAUCUAUUCUGGACUAGCAAAGACAGUAUGGUUAUUAAGCUUUUGUUUUCAGUCAGAUAUUCGGCUAUAAUUAUUUGAUAACCCAACAGGGGUUGCUCAAAUGGUAAAUUAGAGCUUUUUAAGAACCACUUAGGUAGCUAAUUUUCUCUAUACAAAUGCUUUUUAGAAUUAGUUAUCAAUUUUCUUAAAUGGGUUCGUUUGCCUUCUAUGUUAUUUAUCAUCAUCAAUUGAUUAUUACCUUUGAUUUUACCUUAAUGUAAAUUCAUAACUUAUCUCUACCUAUA
Humulus lupulus (European hop) is the source of this 1618-nucleotide long non-coding RNA. RefSeq lists it as uncharacterized. NCBI's taxonomy places the organism in Eukaryota, Viridiplantae, Streptophyta, Magnoliopsida, Rosales, Cannabaceae. The transcript has 4 exons. The record is from RefSeq and is a predicted model, not a curated record.